AAGAGCACGAUCCUUCCCACCCCUUUUGUGGUCCCUUACCUUCCUGGUCUGGCUCCUGGCGGGCCGCGGUCCUCCGCGGCAGCCCCCCUCCCCGGGGGGGUGGCCAGCGCCCGCCAGAGGACCAUCAAACUCCAGUCAGUAAACGAUGCAGUCUGAAAAACAUUUAAUAAACUAAAACUUUCAACAACGGAUCUCUUGGUUCUGGCAUCGAUGAAGAACGCAGCGAAAUGCGAUAAGUAAUGUGAAUUGCAGAAUUCAGUGAAUCAUCGAAUCUUUGAACGCACAUUGCGCCCUUUGGUAUUCCGAAGGGCAUGCCUGUUCGAGCGUCAUUACAACCCUCAAGCUCUGCUUGGUAUUGGGCACCGUCCUUUGCGGGCGCGCCUCAAAGACCUCGGCGGUGGCGUCUUGCCUCAAGCGUAGUAGAACAUACAUCUCGCUUCGGAGCGCAGGGCGUCGCCCGCCGGACGAACCUUCUGAACUUUUCUCAAGGUUGACCUCGGAUCAGGUAGGGAUACCCGCUGAACUUAAGCAUUAAAG
RNAcentral lists this ribosomal RNA (537 nucleotides) under Botryosphaeria dothidea. Its description in RNAcentral is "eukaryotic LSU rRNA". The stretch from base 176 to 329 matches the Rfam family "5.8S ribosomal RNA". Lineage: Eukaryota; Fungi; Ascomycota; Dothideomycetes; Botryosphaeriales; Botryosphaeriaceae. The record is from RNAcentral.